UACGAGAGGCCCAAACGUUAUUCGGAUUCACUGGGCGUAAAGGGUGCGCAGGCGGUUGGGUGUGUCAGAUGUGAAAUCCCGAGGCUUAACCUCGGAACUGCGUCUGAAACUACUCGACUAGAGUACUGGAGAGGGUAACGGAAUUCACGGUGUAGCAGUGAAAUGCGUAGAUAUCGUGAGGAACACCAGAGGCGAAGGCGGUUACCUGGACAGUUACUGACGCUCAGGCACGAAAGCAUGGGGAGCAAAAGGG
This 253-nucleotide ribosomal RNA is filed under the name uncultured bacterium. Its description in RNAcentral is "partial 16S ribosomal RNA". It matches the Rfam family "Bacterial small subunit ribosomal RNA", at positions 524 to 776 of the family's 1533-position model. The record is from RNAcentral.